Non-coding RNA from Mycena rosella, 81 nucleotides. The record is from the annotation of a GenBank genome assembly. Lineage: Eukaryota; Fungi; Basidiomycota; Agaricomycetes; Agaricales; Mycenaceae.
GCCUCCUUAGCUCAGUUGGUAGAGCGCGGCACUCGUACGUGCACCAUGCCGAGGGCACUCGUUCGAACCGGGUAGUAGGCU